GCCAGCAGCCGCGGUAAUUCCAGCUCCAAUAGCGUAUAUUAAAGUUGUUGCAGUUAAAACGCUCGUAGUCGGACCUCGGAGCGCCCCCACGGGCCGGGCUUCUGCCUUUGUGCCAGUGGGAGUUUGUCUCCCUUUUUUGUCGGGACGCGGUGUGUGGGGUCUUUAUUGGCUCUGCGCGUUUUACCUGCGGGCCGGCCGUUUACUGUGAAGAAAGUAAAGUGUUCAAAGCAGGCCAAUGCCUUGAAUAUGUGAGCAUGGAAUAAUAGAAUAGGACUUGGGCUCUAUUUUGUUGGUUUCCAGUGACCAAGUAAUGAUUAAUAGGGAUGGUUGGGGGCAUUCGUAUUUCAUUGUCAGAGGUGAAAUUCUUGGAUUGAUGGAAGACGAACAACUGCGAAAGCAUCUGCCAUGGAUGUUUUCAUUGAUCAAGAACGAAAGUUAGGGGAUCGAAGACGAUCAGAUACCGUCGUAGUCUUAACCAUAAACGAUGCCGACUGGGGAUUGGCAGGGGCACUAUUUAAUGACUCUGUCAGCACCCUGAGGGAAACCAAAGUCUUUGGGUUCUGGGGGGAGUAUGGU
Molecule: ribosomal RNA, 576 nt
Filed under: Pyropia columbiensis
Lineage: Eukaryota; Rhodophyta; Bangiophyceae; Bangiales; Bangiaceae
Description: SSU rRNA
Rfam family: Eukaryotic small subunit ribosomal RNA
Source: RNAcentral